Medicago truncatula (barrel medic) is the source of this 485-nucleotide long non-coding RNA. RefSeq lists it as uncharacterized. The transcript is spliced from 2 exons. The record is from RefSeq and is a predicted model, not a curated record. NCBI's taxonomy places the organism in Eukaryota, Viridiplantae, Streptophyta, Magnoliopsida, Fabales, Fabaceae.
AUUGAAUUCAUAUUUGACGACAGUAUACUCUUAGUUGAACAAUGAUGAAAACACAUCAUUUUAUCUUGAUAUUUUUUUGAGUGCAGAAAUCAUUAUCUAUGUUGUUGGAAUUAAAUCAUCCAGAGAUGGAAAUCAAUUUGGUGCAGCAAAAGAAUCCAAAACAAAAAUUUGGAUAAAUGGUUGGGAAGACUGGGAAGUUGGGGAAGCGGAGGAGAUAAAGAAAGUGGAAAUGGAGCAUGAGAACAAGCAGAAGGUGAACACAAUGGAGGUGUAAGAGUAAAGGGAAGUGGAGAAGACAACUAAAGUGGAAGAGAAAAUGGAAGUGCGAAUGUAAAUGGAAGUGGAUUCAAUAGUGAAAAUUGAUUUACUUGGGGAUGCUGGGGAGGUUUCUUUUCCCACAAAAAUGGUACAUUAUGAAGUGUGUAUUUGAAACCGCUUUUCUUGAUCAAAUUUUUGCGAAAUGAUAAGUUUUAAUAUUGUUUGGA